AACGAACGCUGGCGGCGUGCCUAACACAUGCAAGUCGUGCGAGAAAGUUCCUUCGGGAGCGAGUAAAGCGGCGCACGGGUGAGUAACACGUAGGUAACCUGCCCCCCAGUCUGGAACAACUAGAGGAAACUCUAGCUAAUGCCGGAUGAGACCACGAUCCCUUCGGGGGUUGCGGCCAAAGAUGGCCUCUACUUGUAAGCUAUCGCUGAGGGAUGGGCCUGCGGGCCAUUAGCUUGUUGGUGAGGUAACGGCUCACCAAGGCUGUGACGGCUAGCUGGUCUGAGAGGAUGACCAGCCACACUGGGACUGAGACACGGCCCAGACUCCUACGGGGGGCGAGCAGUGGGGAAGUAAUUGGACAAUGGGGGCGAACCCUCGAUCCAGCAAUGCCGCGUGAGUGAUGAAGGCCUUAGGGUUGUAAA
This 422-nucleotide ribosomal RNA is filed under the name uncultured bacterium. Its description in RNAcentral is "bacterial SSU rRNA". It matches the Rfam family "Bacterial small subunit ribosomal RNA", at positions 29 to 429 of the family's 1533-position model. The record is from RNAcentral.